GUCCACGCCCUAAACGAUGUCUACUAGUUGUCGGGUCUUAAUUGACUUGGUAACGCAGCUAACGCGUGAAGUAGACCGCCUGGGGAGUACGGUCGCAAGAUUAAACUCAAAGGAAUUGACGGGACCCGCACAAGCGGUGGAUGAUGUGGAUUAAUUCGAUGCAACGCGAAAACCUUACCUACCCUUGACAUGGCUGGAAUCCCUGAGAGAUCGGGGAGUGCUCGAAAGAGAACCAGUACACAGGUGCUGCAUGGCUGUCGU
Molecule: ribosomal RNA, 261 nt
Filed under: uncultured bacterium
Lineage: Bacteria
Description: partial 16S ribosomal RNA
Rfam family: Bacterial small subunit ribosomal RNA
Source: RNAcentral